Molecule: ribosomal RNA, 305 nt
Filed under: uncultured bacterium
Lineage: Bacteria
Description: bacterial SSU rRNA
Rfam family: Bacterial small subunit ribosomal RNA
Source: RNAcentral
CCUACGGGAGGCAGCAGUGGGGAAUAUUGCACAAUGGGGGAAACCCUGAUGCAGCGACGCCGCGUGAGCGAAGAAGUAUUUCGGUAUGUAAAGCUCUAUCAGCAGGGAAGAAAAAUGACGGUACCUGAGUAAGAAGCACCGGCUAAAUACGUGCCAGCAGCCGCGGUAAUACGUAUGGUGCAAGCGUUAUCCGGAUUUACUGGGUGUAAAGGGAGCGUAGACGGCUGCGCAAGUCAGAAGUGAAAGCCCGGGGCUCAACCGCGGGACUGCUUUUGAAACUGUAUAGCUAGAGUGCAGGGGAGGUA